This 46-nucleotide transfer RNA is filed under the name Cyrtodactylus redimiculus. RNAcentral describes it as "partial tRNA-Met". The record is from RNAcentral. Lineage: Eukaryota; Metazoa; Chordata; Lepidosauria; Squamata; Gekkonidae.
CGGGCCCAUACCCCGACAAUGUUGGUAUCAAACCCCUCCUGUACUA